UACGAAGGGGGCUAGCGUUGCUCGGAUUGACUGGGCGUAAAGGGCGCGUAGGCGGUUCGUACAGUCAGACGUGAAAUUCCUGGGCUCAACCUGGGGGCUGCGUUUGAUACGUGCGGGCUUGAGAUUGGGAGAGGGAUGCGGAAUUCCAGGUGUAGCGGUGAAAUGCGUAGAUAUCUGGAGGAACACCGGUGGCGAAGGCGGCAUCCUGGACCAACACUGACGCUGAGGAGCGAAAGCCAGGGGAGCAAACGGG
RNAcentral lists this ribosomal RNA (253 nucleotides) under uncultured bacterium. RNAcentral's name for it is "partial 16S ribosomal RNA". It matches the Rfam family "Bacterial small subunit ribosomal RNA", at positions 524 to 776 of the family's 1533-position model. The record is from RNAcentral.